UACGAAGGUGGCAAGCGUUGUUCGGAUUUACUGGGCGUACAGGGAGCGUAGGCGGUUGGGUAAGCCCUCCGUGAAAUCUCCGGGCCUAACCCGGAAAGUGCGGAGGGGACUGCUCGGCUAGAGGAUGGGAGAGGAGCGCGGAAUUCCCGGUGUAGCGGUGAAAUGCGUAGAGAUCGGGAGGAAGGCCGGUGGCGAAGGCGGCGCUCUGGAACAUUUCUGACGCUGAGGCUCGAAAGCGUGGGGAGCAAACAGGAUUAGAUACCCUGGUAGUCCACGCCUUAAACGAUGGAUACUAAGUGUCGGCGGGUUACCGCCGGUGCCGCAGCUAACGCAUUAAGUAUCCCGCCUGGGAAGUACGGCCGCAAGGUUG
RNAcentral lists this ribosomal RNA (370 nucleotides) under uncultured Nitrospirota bacterium. RNAcentral's name for it is "bacterial SSU rRNA". It matches the Rfam family "Bacterial small subunit ribosomal RNA", at positions 524 to 896 of the family's 1533-position model. Lineage: Bacteria; Pseudomonadati; Nitrospirota. The record is from RNAcentral.